RNAcentral lists this ribosomal RNA (253 nucleotides) under uncultured bacterium. Its description in RNAcentral is "partial 16S ribosomal RNA". It matches the Rfam family "Bacterial small subunit ribosomal RNA", at positions 524 to 776 of the family's 1533-position model. The record is from RNAcentral.
UACGUAGGGUGCGAGCGUUAAUCGGAAUUACUGGGCGUAAAGCGUGCGCAGGCGGUUUUGUAAGCCAGAUGUGAAAGCCCCGGGCUUAACCUGGGAAUGGCAUUUGGGACUGCAAGGCUUGAGUGCGGCAGAGGAGACUGGAAUUCCUGGUGUAGCAGUGAAAUGCGUAGAUAUCAGGAGGAAAACCGAUGGCGAAGGCAGGUCUCUGGGCCGACACUGACGCUCAUGCACGAAAGCGUGGGGAGCAAACAGG